CCUACGGGCGGCAGCAGUGAGGAAUAUUGGUCAAUGGACGAGAGUCUGAACCAGCCAAGUAGCGUGAAGGAUGACUGCCCUAUGGGUUGUAAACUUCUUUUAUAUGGGAAUAAAACGUUCCACGUGUGGGAUUUUGUAUGUACCAUAUGAAUAAGGAUCGGCUAACUCCGUGCCAGCAGCCGCAGUAAUACGGAGGAUCCGAGCGUUAUCCGGAUUUAUUGGGUUUAAAGGGAGCGUAGGUGGAUUGUUAAGUCAGUUGUGAAAGUUUGCGGCUCAACCGUAAAAUUGCAGUUGAAACUGGCAGUCUUGAGUACAGUAGAGGUGGGCGGAAUUCGUGGUGUAGCGGUGAAAUGCUUAGAUAUCACGAAGAACUCCGAUUGCGAAGGCAGUUCACUGGACUGCAACUGACACUGAGGCUCGAAAGUGUGGGUAUCAAACAGGAUUAGAUACCCCUGUAGUC
RNAcentral lists this ribosomal RNA (460 nucleotides) under uncultured bacterium. Its description in RNAcentral is "partial 16S ribosomal RNA". It matches the Rfam family "Bacterial small subunit ribosomal RNA", at positions 338 to 795 of the family's 1533-position model. The record is from RNAcentral.